AUGUGGCUGGUUUUACCCUUCCAGGUUGACAGUGGUGAUAAGAGAAAUCUAUUUGGGACUAUACUUCAGGCAAAGAGAAGAACUGAUGUUCAGACUUACAAAAGAGGUAGAACAUAUAUGCUUCCCAUUAUGCGAGAAAGAAACAGGCCUGAGAGUCUAAUGGAUUACUCAAGUCUAUGCUGCCAAGGAAGAACAGAAUCUUUAGGUCGUUUCCAUCAUCUAUACAUGCCAGAGUCCCUCUUCCCUCUGCAAACUCUGUCAUCUUUCUGGGUUACUCCACCAGCCACAUGGCUUUAAUUAUCAUGUCUUUACUAACUAUGGUAAGUUUCUAUUUUAUUUAUUUAUUUAUUUAUUUAUUUAUUAUACUUUGAGUUCUGGAGACAUGUGCAGAACAUGCAGGUUUCUUACAUAGGUAUUCACGUGCCAUGGUGGUUUGCUGCACCCAUCAACCUAUAAUCUACGGUAGGUAUUUCUCCGAAUGCUAUCCCUACCCCAGUCCCCACCCGCUAACAGGCCCAGUGUGUGAUGUUCCCCUUCCUGUGGUCAUGUGCUCUCAUUGUUCAACUUCCACCUAUGAGUGAGAACAUGCAGUGUUUGGUUUUCUGUUCUUGUGAUAGUUUGCUGAGAAUGAUGGUUUCCAACUUCAUCCAUGUCCCUGCAAAGGACAUGAACUCAUCUUUUUUCAUGGCUGCAUAGUAUUCCAUGGUGUAUAUGUGCCACAUUUUCUUUAUCCAGUCUAUCAUUGCUGGGGAUUUUGGUUGGUUCCAAGUCUUUGCUAUUUUGAAUAGUGCAGUAAUAAACAUACGUGUGCAUGUGUCUUCAAGACCAGAGCUUUCUUAACUUCAGAUUCAUACAACCAGCCAUCAGCAGAACAUCACCAAUUAGGGUUCCACCAGUGUCUCGUCCACAUUCUAUUCUGAGUGUUGCCCAUCUGGUGUGGUCAACUUCACAUUGUCUGAAGCAGGACCUAGAAGAUCAACCUCAACUUCUUCCCGCCCUCUGCUCACUCUCCGCAGACAAUCAGUUAUCAACCUGCAGUGACUCCUAAUGUCUCUCAAAUGGCCCCUGUCUAGACAUCUCCACUGUCACUACCUUAGCUUCAGGCCCAUUGUCUUAGUCUGCUUUUUGCAGCUAUAAUAGAAUGCCUGAGACUGGGUAAGUUUUAAUAAAGAGGAAUUUAUUUGGCUCAUGG
Molecule: long non-coding RNA, 1192 nt
Filed under: Macaca mulatta (Rhesus monkey)
Lineage: Eukaryota; Metazoa; Chordata; Mammalia; Primates; Cercopithecidae
Description: lncRNA (ENSMMUG00000062031.1)
Source: RNAcentral